RNAcentral lists this ribosomal RNA (394 nucleotides) under uncultured bacterium. RNAcentral describes it as "bacterial SSU rRNA". It matches the Rfam family "Bacterial small subunit ribosomal RNA", at positions 28 to 418 of the family's 1533-position model. The record is from RNAcentral.
GACGAACGCUGGCGGCGCGCUUAACACAUGCAAGUCGAGCGAGAACCAGACCUUCGGUCUGGGAAGCGGCGAACGGGUGAGUAACACGUGGGUAACCCACCCUUGGUACCGGGAUAGCCCGAGGAAACUCGGAUUAAUACCGGAUGGCCCAACAGCUCUUCGGGGCGGUUGGAAAAGGUAGCUUCGGCCUCCGACCAAGGACGGGCCCGCGGCGGAUUAGCUUGUUGGUGAGGUAACGGCUCACCAAGGCUUCGAUCCGUAGCGGUCUGAGAGGACGAUCAGCCACACUGGGACUGAGACACGGCCCAGACUCCUACGGGAGGCAGCAGUGGGGAAUUUUUGGACAAUGGGGGCAACCCUGAUCCAGCCAUGCCGCGUGCGGGAAGAAGGCCUU